This is a non-coding RNA of Pelodiscus sinensis (Chinese soft-shelled turtle), 766 nucleotides long. NCBI's taxonomy places the organism in Eukaryota, Metazoa, Chordata, Testudines, Trionychidae. The record is from RefSeq and is a predicted model, not a curated record.
UGCAUGUCAUACCGAGAAGCAAGAUCUGAGGAGAUACUCUAGCUCCUUUUCAUUUCCAAAGUGCAGCCAGCUUUCUGGUGUACAAAGUCACUGGCAUGCAUGGGGCACCAAGUGAUGGAAAGCCAGUAGUACAUGUUAAUGAACAUGAUUUACAGUUUGGCAGGAUGUUAGAAUGGAUGACUUGUCUCCCUCGUGGGCUGCUAUUCCUAUGCAUGACGGAGUGAGCUAAGGAUGCACUGAAGUAUCUUAGCUAUUUGUCUCCUGUUCUGCUGAGUUUGGAUGUCUUCUAAAGCAUUUUCUGAGGCAGAUCCAGAAUGGACUUCAAGAGAACUGAUUUCAAUGGUUCUGUCCCUCUUACAUCCUGUUACACCUACUUCUCCACAGACUAUAUCAGGGCUGUGAUUCUUCAGGAUCAACAGGCUGACCAAAAGACAUGACAAAUUGGAGGAAAGACUUUUUUCCUGGAAUUAAAUGCACACUAGUAUUGACCCCGGGAGUUAAGAAAACUCGACCAACAGACAUUUCCCAAAGCAUUGUGGUCUUCAUAAACUUCAGUUUAACCUGAGUGAGAGACAGCAUCUUCUCCUAUUACUCUUAGGGAAGGGGAAGUGGUCAGAGGAGUCUUAAAAUUGUGAACACUUUCAACAGCUGGAGAAUGCAGAUGGUCAUUUUUGACUCAGAGAAUUGGCCUGAGAAUAUUGCAGGAUGUUUUGUUCAGACUAAAACAUAGUGAUCAUAAUGAAAAACACCUCUUUCUAAAGAGGAC